UACGGAGGGUGCAAGCGUUAUCCGGAUUCACUGGGUUUAAAGGGUGCGUAGGCGGGCAGGUAAGUCCGUGGUGAAAUCCCCGAGCUUAACUCGGGAACUGCCAUGGAUACUAUUUGUCUUGAAUAUUGUGGAGGUAAGCGGAAUAUGUCAUGUAGCGGUGAAAUGCUUAGAUAUGACAUAGAACACCAAUUGCGAAGGCAGCUUGCUACACAGUUAUUGACGCUGAGGCACGAAAGCGUGGGGAGCAAACAGG
RNAcentral lists this ribosomal RNA (253 nucleotides) under uncultured bacterium. RNAcentral describes it as "partial 16S ribosomal RNA". It matches the Rfam family "Bacterial small subunit ribosomal RNA", at positions 524 to 776 of the family's 1533-position model. The record is from RNAcentral.